RNAcentral lists this ribosomal RNA (324 nucleotides) under Kraken sp. RNAcentral's name for it is "SSU rRNA". The stretch from base 106 to 324 matches the Rfam family "Eukaryotic small subunit ribosomal RNA", at positions 737 to 955 of the family's 1831-position model. The record is from RNAcentral. Lineage: Eukaryota; Cercozoa.
GAUUUCUGGUUUGAUAUGCCUGGCCCGCCACGGUUACGUGUGUGAGUGCCGGUGCGUGUCUACCAUCCUUCUGGAAAACGUGUCUACCCUUCACUGGGCCGGAUACGCGACCCAGAUCAUUUACUUUGAAAGAAUUAGAGUGUUUAAAGCAGGCUUUUUGCUAUGAAUACAUUAGCAUGGAAUAAUAAUAUAGGACUUCGGUCUCUAUUUUGUUGGUUUCUAGAGCUGAAGUAAUGAUUGAUAGGGAUAGUUGGGGGUGCUAGUAUUCAUCGGCCAGAGGUGAAAUUCUUGGAUUCGAUGAAGACUAACUUAUGCGAAAGCAUU